RNAcentral lists this ribosomal RNA (490 nucleotides) under uncultured bacterium. Its description in RNAcentral is "partial 16S ribosomal RNA". It matches the Rfam family "Bacterial small subunit ribosomal RNA", at positions 29 to 505 of the family's 1533-position model. The record is from RNAcentral.
AGUGAACGCUGGCGGUAGGCCUAACACAUGCAAGUCGAACGGCAGCACAGUAAGAGCUUGCUCUUACGGGUGGCGAGUGGCGGACGGGUGAGGAAUACAUCGGAAUCUACUUUUUCGUGGGGGAUAACGUAGGGAAACUUACGCUAAUACCGCAUACGACCUACGGGUGAAAGCAGGGGAUCUUCGGACCUUGCGCGAUUGAAUGAGCCGAUGUCGGAUUAGCUAGUUGGCGGGGUAAAGGCCCACCAAGGCGACGAUCCGUAGCUGGUCUGAGAGGAUGAUCAGCCACACUGGAACUGAGACACGGUCCAGACUCCUACGGGAGGCAGCAGUGGGGAGUAUUGGACAAUGGGCGCAAGCCUGAUCCAGCCAUACCGCGUGGGUGAAGAAGGCCUUCGGGUUGUAAAGCCCUUUUGUUGGGAAAGAAAAGCAGCAGGUUAAUACCCCGCUGUUCUGACGGUACCCAAAGAAUAAGCACCGGCUAACUUCG